UCCGGUUGAUCCUGCCGGACCCUACUGCUAUCGGGAUGAGACUAAGACAUGCGAGUUGCACGUCUCCCAGCCACGAAGGAGACGUAGCAUACGGCUCAGUAACACGUGGCUAACCUACCCUCGAGACGGAAACAACCCCGGGAAACUGGGGACAAUUUCCGAUAGGAGAAGAACCCUGGAAUGAGUCUUCUCCCAAAGGGCGUCUGAAUCAUGCUUCAGACGCUGCUCAAGGAUGGGGCCGCGGCCGAUCAGGUUGUUGGUGAGGUAACGGCUCACCAAGCCUAUAACCGGUACGGGCCGUGGGAGCGGUAGCCCGGAGAUGGGUACUGAGACAAGGACCCAGGCCCUACGGGGCGCAGCAGUCGCGAAACCUCCGCAAUACACGAAAGUGUGACGGGGUCAUCCCGAGUGUCACCCGCUGAGGAUGACUUUUCUCCAGUGUAAGGAGCUGGAGGAAUAAGGAGAGGGCAAGUCUGGUGUCAGCCGCCGCGGUAAUACCAGCUCUCCGAGUGGUAGGGACGAUUAUUGGGCUUAAAGCGUCCGUAGCCGGCUCAGUAAGUCUUCUGUUAAAUCCAACGAUCUAAUCGCUGGACUGCAGAAGAUACUGUUGGGCUAGGGGGCGGGAGAGGCCGACGGUAUUUCCGGGGUAGGGGUGAAAUCCUAUAAUCCCGGGAAGACCACCAGUGGCGAAGGCUGUCGGCUAGAACGCGCCCGACGGUGAGGGACGAAAGCUGGGGGGGCGAACCGGAUUAGAUACCCGGGUAGUCCCAGCUGUAAACGAUGCGGGCUAGGUGUUAGAGUGGCUACGCGCCACUUUAGUGCCGCAAGGAAACAAUUAAGCCCGCCGCCUGGGAAGUACGGCCGCAAGGCUGAAACUUAAAGGAAUUGGCGGGGGAGCACCACAAGGGGUGAAGCUUGCGGUUUAAUUGGAGUCAACACCGGGAACCUUACCGGGGGCGACAGCAGAAUGAAAGCCAGAUUGACGAUCUUGCCAGACGAGCUGAGAGGAGGUGCAUGGCC
This 1020-nucleotide ribosomal RNA is filed under the name uncultured archaeon. RNAcentral describes it as "bacterial SSU rRNA". It matches the Rfam family "Archaeal small subunit ribosomal RNA", at positions 1 to 999 of the family's 1478-position model. The record is from RNAcentral.